RNAcentral lists this ribosomal RNA (429 nucleotides) under uncultured prokaryote. RNAcentral's name for it is "bacterial SSU rRNA". It matches the Rfam family "Bacterial small subunit ribosomal RNA", at positions 355 to 774 of the family's 1533-position model. The record is from RNAcentral.
UCGAGAAUAGUCUACAAUGGUCGAAAGACUGAUAGUGCGACGCCGCGUGAACGAAGAAUCCCUUCGGGGUGUAAAGUUCUUUUGUAAUCGAGCAAUGCCUUUUAUGUGAUAAGCAUGAGAGGAGAGAUAUUAGGUUAAGAAUAAGCAACGGCUAACUCCGUGCCAGCAGCCGCGGUAACACGUGGGUUGCAAGCGUUGUCCGGAAUUACUAGGCGUAAAGGGCAGGUAGGCGGAUAUAUAAGUUUUGUGUUAAAGGCAUCAGCUUAACCGGUGUAGGGCAUAGGAUACUGUAUAUCUGGAAUGCGGUUGAGGAAGACAGAAUGCCUGGUGUAGCGGUGAAAUGCGUAGAUAUUAGGAGGAACACCAGUGGCGAAGGCGGCUUUCUGGACUGACACUGACGCUGAGGCACGAAAGCGUGGGGAGCAAACA